UUGUGCUCAGUGGAGCAGGUAAAGGUCUCAAACGCAGGACUGUAACGUCCAGCGUGAACGUGUUUUCUGAUGACAAGGAUGAAGCAGCCCACACAGGAGGCAGCAGAGAAAGCCCGUCCACUUCAGUGCUGUCAAAACCAGGUCCUUUCCUUCCUCUGAAAGGUCCCACAGCAGCUGGGAUCCCAAAGGUG
This 191-nucleotide long non-coding RNA is filed under the name Cavia porcellus (domestic guinea pig). RNAcentral's name for it is "lncRNA (ENSCPOG00000032746.1)". The record is from RNAcentral. Lineage: Eukaryota; Metazoa; Chordata; Mammalia; Rodentia; Caviidae.